UACGUAGGGGGCUAGCGUUGUCCGGAAUCAUUGGGCGUAAAGCACGUGUAGGCGGUUCGGUAAGUCCGCUGUGAAAGUCGGGGGCUCAACCCUCGAAUGCCGGUGGAUACUGUCGAACUAGAGUGCGGAAGAGGCGAGUGGAAUUCCUGGUGUAGCGGUGAAAUGCGCAGAUAUCAGGAGGAACACCAAUGGCGAAGGCAGCUCGCUGGGACGUGACUGACGCUGAGACGCGAAAGCAUGGGGAGCGAACAGG
This 253-nucleotide ribosomal RNA is filed under the name uncultured bacterium. RNAcentral's name for it is "partial 16S ribosomal RNA". It matches the Rfam family "Bacterial small subunit ribosomal RNA", at positions 524 to 776 of the family's 1533-position model. The record is from RNAcentral.